CUACGGGAGGCAGCAGUCGAGAAUCAUUCACAAUGGACGAAAGUCUGAUGAUGCGACGCCGUGUGAGCGAUGAAGGCCUUCGGGUUGUAAAGCUCUUUCGCAAGGGAACAAGAGAGGCAAGUGAAUAACUUGCUGAUUUGAGGGUACUUUGUAAAGAAGCACCGGCUAACUCCGUGCCAGCAGCUGCGGUAAUACGGAGGGUGCUAGCAUUAAUCGGAAUUAUUGGGCGUAAAGGGCGCGUAGGCUGUUUGGGAAGUCAGAUGUGAAAUUUCAGAGCUCACCUCUGAAGCUGCAUUUGAAACUCCCAGACUAGAGGAUAGGCGGAGAAAACGGAAUUCCACAUGUAGCGGUGAAAUGCGUAGAGAUGUGGAAGAACACCUGUGGCGAAAGCGGUUUUCUAGCUUAUUCCUGACGCUGAGGCGCGAGAGCAAGGGGAGCAAACAGGAUUAGAUACCCGAGUAGUCC
Molecule: ribosomal RNA, 465 nt
Filed under: uncultured bacterium
Lineage: Bacteria
Description: bacterial SSU rRNA
Rfam family: Bacterial small subunit ribosomal RNA
Source: RNAcentral